RNAcentral lists this ribosomal RNA (506 nucleotides) under uncultured bacterium. RNAcentral's name for it is "partial 16S ribosomal RNA". It matches the Rfam family "Bacterial small subunit ribosomal RNA", at positions 28 to 523 of the family's 1533-position model. The record is from RNAcentral.
GAUGAACGCUAGCUACAGGCUUAACACAUGCAAGUCGAGGGGUAACGAGAGGAAAGCUUGCUUUCCUUGUCGACGACCGGCGCACGGGUGAGUAACGCGUAUCCAACCUGCCCCCAACUAGGGAAUAACCUUGCGAAAGUAAGACUAAUACCCUAUAAUUUCCUCAGAUGUCAUCUGACGAGGAAUAAAGAUUUAUCGGUUGUGGAUGGGGAUGCGUCUGAUUAGCUUGGUGGCGGGGUAACGGCCCACCAAGGCAACGAGCAGUAUGGGUUCUGAGAGGAAGGUCCCCCACAUUGGAACUGAGACACGGUCCAAACUCCUACGGGAGGCAGCAGUGAGGAAUAUUGGUCAAUGGGCGGAAGCCUGAACCAGCCAAGUAGCGUGCAGGAUGACGGCCCUAUGGGUUGCAAACUGCUUUUAUACAGGAAUAAAGUUAGCCACGUGUGGUUAUUUGUAGGUACUGUAUGAAUAAGGACCGGCUAAUUCCGUGCCAGCCGCCGCAGUAA